CUACGGGCGGCAGCAGUGGGGAAUAUUGCACAAUGGGCGCAAGCCUGAUGCAGCCAUGCCGCGUGUAUGAAGAAGGCCUUCGGGUUGUAAAGUACUUUCAGCGGGGAGGAAGGGAGUAAAGUUAAUACCUUUGCUCAUUGACGUUACCCGCAGAAGAAGCACCGGCUAACUCCGUGCCAGCAGCCGCGGGUAAUACGGAGGGUGCAAGCGUUAAUCGGAAUUGCUGGGCGUAAAGCGCACGCAGGCGGUUUGUUAAGUCAGAUGUGAAAUCCCCGGGCUCAACCUGGGAACUGCAUCUGAUACUGGCAAGCUUGAGUCUCGUAGAGGGGGGUAGAAUUCAAGGUGUAGCGGUGAAAUGCGUAGAGAUCUGGAGGAAUACCGGUGGCGAAGGCGGCCCCCUGGACGAAGACUGACGCUCAGGUGCGAAAGCGUGGGGAGCAAACAGGAUUAGAUACCCGCGUAGUC
RNAcentral lists this ribosomal RNA (465 nucleotides) under uncultured bacterium. Its description in RNAcentral is "partial 16S ribosomal RNA". It matches the Rfam family "Bacterial small subunit ribosomal RNA", at positions 339 to 795 of the family's 1533-position model. The record is from RNAcentral.